GAGUUUGAACCUGGCUCAGGACGAACGCUGGCGGCGCGCCUAACACAUGCAAGUCGAACGGGGAUAUGCUGGACAAGGCUUCGGCCGAGGAAGGCAUAUUCGAGUGGCGGACGGGUGAGUAACGCGUGAGCAACCUGCCCUUCAGAGGGGGAUAACGAUUGGAAACGAUCGCUAAUACCGCAUAACAUUGCAGAGCCGCAUGGUUUUGCAAUCAAAGGAGCAAUCCGCUGAGAGAUGGGCUCGCGUCCAAUUAGGUAGAUGGCGGGGUAGAGGCCCACCAUGCCGACGAUUGGUAGCCGGACUGAGAGGUUGAACGGCCACAUUGGGACUGAGACACGGCCCAGACUCCUACGGGAGGCAGCAGUGGGGAAUAUUGGGCAAUGGGGGGAACCCUGACCCAGCGACGCCGCGUGAGGGAAGAAGGUUUUCGGAUUGUAAACCUCUGUCCUUGGUGACGAUAAUGACGGUAGCCAAGGAGGAAGCCACGGCUAACUACGUGCCAGCAGCCGCGGUAAUACGUAGGUGGCGAGCGUUGUCCGGAAUUACUGGGUGUAAAGGGAGCGUAGGCGGGAGAGCAAGUCGACUGUGAAAUCUAUGGGCUUAACCCAUAGCUGCGAUCGAAACUGUUCAUCUUGAGUGAAGUAGAGGCAGGCGGAAUUCCUAGUGUAGCGGUGAAAUGCGUAAAUAUUAGGAGGAACACCAGUGGCGAAAGCGGCCUGCUGGGCUUUAACUGACGCU
This 738-nucleotide ribosomal RNA is filed under the name uncultured bacterium. RNAcentral describes it as "bacterial SSU rRNA". It matches the Rfam family "Bacterial small subunit ribosomal RNA", at positions 9 to 747 of the family's 1533-position model. The record is from RNAcentral.